GGGCCCGCACAAGCGGCGGAGCAUGCGGAUUAAUUCGAUGCAACGCGAAGAACCUUACCUGGGUUUGACAUCGCCGGAAAUCCUUCAGAGAUGGGGGGUCCUUCGGGGUCGGUGACAGGUGGUGCAUGGCUGUCGUCAGCUCGUGUCGUGAGAUGUUGGGUUAAGUCCCGCAACGAGCGCAACCCUCGUUCGAUGUUGCCAGCGGUUCGGCCGGGGACUCAUCGAAGACUGCCGGGGUCAACUCGGAGGAAGGUGGGGAUGACGUCAAGUCAUCAUGCCCCUUAUGUCCAGGGCUUCACGCAUGCUACAAUGGCCGGUACAAAGGGCUGCGAUACCGUGAGGUGGAGCGAAUCCCAAAAAGCCGGUCUCAGUUCGGAUCGGGGUCUGCAACUCGACCCCGUGAAGUCGGAGUCGCUAGUAAUCGCAGAUCAGCAACGCUGCGGUGAAUACGUUCCCGGGCCUU
Molecule: ribosomal RNA, 463 nt
Filed under: uncultured bacterium
Lineage: Bacteria
Description: bacterial SSU rRNA
Rfam family: Bacterial small subunit ribosomal RNA
Source: RNAcentral